GUAUUGUGACAGGAGAGUCUGUAGCGCCAGGGGAAGUGGCUUCCGGAUGAGGUGGAGGUGCCCAAGAACUGGAAGAGCAAGUGGACCGGGAGGUAAAUUUUGCUUCCGAUGGAACAAGAUUUUUUUAAGCAAGAAAACGACGAGCAAGAGAGCAAGGUAAUAGUGCAUGCUUUCCAUUGAAAAGCAGAAAAACGAUAAACCCAGAGAGGAAACGAAAGGUUCAUCCAAAUCAACAACCAAUCCAAUCUAACUCUCCAUAUUUUAUC
This 266-nucleotide unclassified non-coding RNA is filed under the name Hevea brasiliensis (rubber tree). Lineage: Eukaryota; Viridiplantae; Streptophyta; Magnoliopsida; Malpighiales; Euphorbiaceae. The record is from RNAcentral.